CAAAGAUUAAGCCAUGCAUGUGA
This 23-nucleotide ribosomal RNA is filed under the name Macrosamanea pubiramea. RNAcentral describes it as "partial 18S ribosomal RNA". Lineage: Eukaryota; Viridiplantae; Streptophyta; Magnoliopsida; Fabales; Fabaceae. The record is from RNAcentral. RNAcentral also lists the same sequence under 2 other names.